Molecule: ribosomal RNA, 301 nt
Filed under: uncultured bacterium
Lineage: Bacteria
Description: partial 16S ribosomal RNA
Rfam family: Bacterial small subunit ribosomal RNA
Source: RNAcentral
CAGCCGCCGCGGUAACACAGAGGGUGCAAGCGUUAAUCGGAAUUACUGGGCGUAAAGCGCGCGUAGGUGGUUUGUUAAGUUGGAUGUGAAAUCCCCGGGCUCAACCUGGGAACUGCAUCCAAAACUGGCAAGCUAGAGUAUGGUAGAGGGUGGUGGAAUUUCCUGUGUAGCGGUGAAAUGCGUAGAUAUAGGAAGGAACACCAGUGGCGAAGGCGACCACCUGGACUGAUACUGACACUGAGGUGCGAAAGCGUGGGGAGCAAACAGGAUUAGAUACCCGAGUAGUCUCUGUCUCUUAUAC